AUCCCCACCCCUCACAAACACACACACAAGGUAUGAGUUAAGAAUUUCCAGACAACUCAAAUCAAUGUGUUAACAUUUAUUUAUUUGCCAAAAGCAAGAGUGGUUACAUUGUUGAUUAAAACUAUACUCCUAGAGUGAAUCUGAUAGCACUAAGAACAGCCUAAUUCCAUUAAUAUGCAUCUAGUUUUCAUAAUCUUCACCCCAGUGUGAACAGGGAUGUUGACAGGCUUUUGGUGAAGCUAAGAGUACAAGAAACACAGAGAAAGAAAAAAGAGUCAUUAGGUAGAUCUGAUAUUAAUGUAGCUGUCAAUAUCAAGGAAGUCCUGGGAACAAACAAUGGAGCAAGAUAGCCUUAUAAUUAUUGAUUUGAGUUCUAAAAUGUGUAUGCUGACAUGUACUUGCUUCAAAAUGACAAUACGUCUUAUAAUAUGGAACAGAUGGCAAAAUAUAAUGUACAUUUCUUAAUGUAAUAAUAUACAGGUUAUUUUCUGUGAUAUUAAGAUACUUACUGGCCCUAAUGGCAUCCAGAUUAUUUUCCAACGUUGCCAAUGCCGGUGUUGCCUCCACCCCCAUCUAUGUUGCCAAUGUUACUUCCUCCACCUCCUGAUACAUUGCCAAUGUCCUCGUUGCCUCCACCACCGUGUACGUCGCCAAUGUGAGUUCCUCCACCUCCUGAUACAUUGCCAAUGCCCUUGUUGCCUCCACCUCCUGAUAUGUUGCCAAUGGAACUACCUUUGUUUUUGUCCUCACAGUGUGGUUUACAUCUAUCCAUUGCCGCUAUGAUAUCUGUGUCUGUGUUCUUCCUUGGUACAGUGGAGCUCUUGAAGGUAAUAGUGAACAGGUGUUGUAGUACAGAGUGGAGGGAUAGUUCUGCUUUUAUAGGAUAGAGACACGCUGGAUGAGAGAAAGGGAGGCUGGUUCUUGACUUAUUACAGUUAUUGAAAUCCAGGUCACUUCCAGAGAACUAAAGAGAGUAAAUAUUGUCGUUAUAGAGUUGGAUAAUUUCCAGAGUAUAUUACCAAAUUGUACCUGUUGUUGCCAAUCAAGUCUCCACCUGUAAUUUGAGCUCCUAUUGUGUUAAAUUGCUGUGAUUCAAAUGAUUUCAGCAUCAUUUCAGCAGUUUUUCUAAGUUGCCGUUAUUGGAUGGUGAACAUGCUGCCC
Esox lucius (northern pike) is the source of this 1161-nucleotide long non-coding RNA. NCBI's taxonomy places the organism in Eukaryota, Metazoa, Chordata, Actinopteri, Esociformes, Esocidae. The record is from Ensembl.